UCCCCUGAAUUUAUUUUUAAAGAUAUUACAAUGAAAUUUUGACAGGAGGUGGGUUAUGCAUUUUGAAAUAGUUUCAUGAAAAUUUAAAAAAAAUAUUUAAGCAUUUUAAAAUUCAUUUUUAUAAAAAUUUAAAUUUUUUGAGUGAUUGAAAAAAAAAUUAAAUUAUGCAUCCCAGAAUGCAAUAUUUCAGGGGAAUUGAUAUGUCGGUGAAAAAGGUCACAUUAGUGCAUUCAUUGACCAGUCAAAUAGUUCCUUUUUAAAAAUAGAAAAACUGUUUUGUAAUGUGUAUUUGCAUGUGUAUUCUUAAUAAGGGGUCCCUUUGAAGUCAUAGAUGAAAGACGAGGUGUUUAUUGGAAAUGACAGACAAGCUAUCCAUUGAUUUCCCCCACCCAAAAUAAGGCGCAAUAAGGUGGUGAUUGGGCCAAUAUUUACAAUAACAUGUGCAUGGAUUUAUUUGCAGGAAACCGCACGUGGAAAUGGGAUUCAGGCUUUGCCCGACUCAUAAUUGCACAUGCAGGCAGAGGUUGUGUAUUGGAGUUUAUAAUUUCAGGUGCAGGGAUGUCAGUUUGUUCGGGGCGAGGAUAUAAGACUGAUUCCACCAGUUGUGUCUGUCUCCACCUUCACACACCACUGAAUUCCUUCGACAUUUUGAACAGUCUCCUGAGUAGCAGAGGAUGGUACUUUCUACGACAAGAGGAAGUUUACUACAGAUGAUGUUGAUGUCUCCAGUGGAAACAUCUCGGGGCUGAAGUGGGCACUGCGACACUGCCGGAACUGGGCUCUGCUGACAUGGGUUGGGUCGGCCAGUCGAGUGAUUUGCCAGUCUGGAUGAAAAAUACGCAUGGCAUCUUGGAAUCCCUGGGCUGACCGGGCAUCACCGUCUGUUGUGGCGUGCUUCACCUUGAACCCGUCCGCUGCCAGAUCUUCGCCUAUGGAUUUAGCCAUCUCGUACUCUGAAAGAGGGCUAGAGUGGCUGUGUUGACCUGGUUGCUGGCCCUUUGCAUGGAACUGCGGUUAGGAGGUGGAAUGUCCAAGGCAGCUACCAUUUCCCGACUGCGUCGAUUCCCCAUGGAGGUGUUCUGCAGGGCUAAUUGAAAGUUCCAGUUGAUACUGGCAGGAUUAGGGCCUGGUUUGUUA
Long non-coding RNA from Saccostrea cuccullata (small rock oyster), 1137 nucleotides. RefSeq lists it as uncharacterized. NCBI's taxonomy places the organism in Eukaryota, Metazoa, Mollusca, Bivalvia, Ostreida, Ostreidae. The transcript has 4 exons. The record is from RefSeq and is a predicted model, not a curated record.